AUCCCUACGGGACGCAGCAGUGAGGAAUAUUGGUCAAUGGGCGGGAGCCUGAACCAGCCAAGUCGCGUGAGGGAAGACGGUCCUACGGAUUGUAAACCUCUGUCAGUGGGGACGAUAAUGACGGUACCCACGGAGGAAGCCACGGCUAACUACGUGCCAGCAGCCGCGGUAAUACGUAGGUGGCAAGCGUUGUCCGGAAUUACUGGGUGUAAAGGGAGCGUAGGCGGGAUGUCAAGUCAGAAGUGAAAAUUAUGGGCUCAACUCAUAACCUGCUUUUGAAACUGAUAUUCUUGAGUGAAGUAGAG
This 305-nucleotide ribosomal RNA is filed under the name uncultured bacterium. Its description in RNAcentral is "bacterial SSU rRNA". It matches the Rfam family "Bacterial small subunit ribosomal RNA", at positions 335 to 656 of the family's 1533-position model. The record is from RNAcentral.